ACGCUCGACACCUACGGGAGGCAGCAGUGGGGAAUAUUGGGCAAUGGGCGCAAGCCUGACCCAGCAACGCCGCGUGAAGGAAGAAGGCCCUCGGGUUGUAAACUUCUUUUGACAGGGACGAAACAAAUGACGGUACCUGUCGAAUAAGCCACGGCUAACUACGUGCUAGCAGCCGCGGUAAUCUGAGCGGGCUGGCAAGGC
RNAcentral lists this ribosomal RNA (201 nucleotides) under uncultured bacterium. Its description in RNAcentral is "partial 16S ribosomal RNA". It matches the Rfam family "Bacterial small subunit ribosomal RNA", at positions 328 to 539 of the family's 1533-position model. The record is from RNAcentral.